UUACGCUGUUAUCCCUAAGGUAAUUUAUUUCAAAAUACUAAAAAUUAGGAUUAUAUGUUCAUUAAUUAAUGGUAUAAUUAUUUAAAAGUUUAUUAAAUUAUAAAAUUACCCCAAUUAAAUAUUAAAUAUAAUUUAUAUUUAAAAUAUUAUAAAUCUAAUUAUAUUUAAUAUAAAAUUCUAAAGGGUCUUCUCGUCUUUUAAUUAUAUUUAAGAAUUUUAACUUAAAAUUUAAUUUAAAUUUUUAUUUUAUUUAUAAAGUUUAUAUUUCAUUUAAUCUUUCAUUCUAGUUUUCAAUUAAAAAACUAAUUACUAUGCUACCUUUGUACAGUUAUUGAUACUGCAGCCAUUUAAUUUUCAUUGGGCAGAUUAGACUUAAAAUUAUUUUCAAUAAGACAUGUUUUUGUUAAACAGGCG
Molecule: ribosomal RNA, 414 nt
Filed under: Aphidius arvensis
Lineage: Eukaryota; Metazoa; Arthropoda; Insecta; Hymenoptera; Braconidae
Description: partial 16S ribosomal RNA
Source: RNAcentral